CGCUGAGUUUGAUCCUGGCUCAGAUUGAACGCUGGCGUAAUGCUUUACACAUGCAAGUCGAACGGUAGAGGGGGCAACCCCUUGAGAGUGGCGAACGGGUGAGUAAUAUAUCGGAACGUGCCCAGUCGUGGGGGAUAACGUAGCGAAAGUUACGCUAAUACCGCAUACGAUCUAAGGAUGAAAGCGGGGGAUCGCAAGACCUCGCGCGAUUGGAGCGGCCGAUAUCAGAUUAGGUAGUUGGUGAGGUAAAGGCUCACCAAGCCAACGAUCUGUAGCUGGUCUGAGACGGACGACCCAG
This 298-nucleotide ribosomal RNA is filed under the name uncultured Limnohabitans sp. Its description in RNAcentral is "partial 16S ribosomal RNA". It matches the Rfam family "Bacterial small subunit ribosomal RNA", at positions 1 to 307 of the family's 1533-position model. Lineage: Bacteria; Pseudomonadati; Pseudomonadota; Betaproteobacteria; Burkholderiales; Comamonadaceae. The record is from RNAcentral.